This 446-nucleotide ribosomal RNA is filed under the name uncultured bacterium. RNAcentral describes it as "bacterial SSU rRNA". It matches the Rfam family "Bacterial small subunit ribosomal RNA", at positions 354 to 796 of the family's 1533-position model. The record is from RNAcentral.
GUGAGGAAUAUUGCGCAAUGGACGAAAGUCUGACGCAGCCAUGCCGCGUGAAGGAUUGACGGCCCUAUGGGUUGUAAACUUCUUUUGUAUAGGAAUAAACCCUCGUUCGUGAACGAGGCUGAAGGUACUAUAAGAAUAAGCACCGGCUAACUCCGUGCCAGCAGCCGCGGUAAUACGGAGGGUGCAAGCGUUAUCCGGAUUUAUUGGGUUUAAAGGGUCCGUAGGCGGAUCGUUAAGUCAGUGGUGAAAUCCUACCGCUCAACGGUAGAACUGCCAUUGAUACUGGCGAUCUUGAGUAUGUAUGAAGUUGGCGGAAUGUGUGGUGUAGCGGUGAAAUGCUUAGAUAUCACACAGAACACCGAUUGCGAAGGCAGCUGACUAAUACACAACUGACGCUGAGGGACGAAAGUGUGGGGAUCAAACAGGAUUAGAAACCCCAGUAGUCC